AGAAACUUAGGUUACUAAACCCUGGGCCUUCAAAGCCCAAAACAGAAGUCAUUAUUCUUCUAGUUUCUG
RNAcentral lists this transfer RNA (69 nucleotides) under Craugastor podiciferus (Cerro Utyum robber frog). RNAcentral's name for it is "tRNA-Trp". The record is from RNAcentral. Lineage: Eukaryota; Metazoa; Chordata; Amphibia; Anura; Craugastoridae.